RNAcentral lists this ribosomal RNA (3006 nucleotides) under Salmonella enterica subsp. arizonae. RNAcentral's name for it is "23S ribosomal RNA". It matches the Rfam family "Bacterial large subunit ribosomal RNA". Lineage: Bacteria; Pseudomonadati; Pseudomonadota; Gammaproteobacteria; Enterobacterales; Enterobacteriaceae. The record is from RNAcentral.
UUAAGCGACCAAGCGUACACGGUGGAUGCCCUGGCAGUCAGAGGCGAUGAAGGACGUGCUAAUCUGCGAAAAGCGCCGGUAAGGUGAUAUGAACCGUUAUAACCGGCGAUGUCCGAAUGGGGAAACCCAGUGUGACUCGUCACACUAUCAUUAACUGAAUCCAUAGGUUAAUGAGGCGAACCGGGGGAACUGAAACAUCUAAGUACCCCGAGGAAAAGAAAUCAACCGAGAUUCCCCCCAGUAGCGGCGAGCGAACGGGGAGGAGCCCAGAGCCUGAAUCAGCAUGUGUGUUAGUGGAAGCGUCUGGAAAGGCGCGCGAUACAGGGUGAGAGCCCCGUACACAAAAGCGCAUAUGCUGUGAGCUCGAUGAGUAGGGCGGGACACGUGGUAUCCUGUCUGAAUAUGGGGGGGACCAUCCUCCAAGGCUAAAUACUCCUGACUGACCGAUAGUGAACCAGUACCGUGAGGGAAAGGCGAAAAGAACCCCGGCGAGGGGAGUGAAACAGAACCUGAAACCGUGUACGUACAAGCAGUGGGAGCCCCACCACUAAGCCAGUGGUGAACUCCACAUACGCAUCCUUUGCGGAAGAUGCGGUUAACGGCGCGCAAGCGACGUUCAACCUCAAAAGAAGCAGAGGGGGCUUAGUGGUGGGGUGACUGCGUACCUUUUGUAUAAUGGGUCAGCGACUUAUAUUCUGUAGCAAGGUUAACCGCAUAGGGGAGCCGAAGGGAAACCGAGUCUUAAUUGGGCGUUAAGUUGCAGGGUAUAGACCCGAAACCCGGUGAUCUAGCCAUGGGCAGGUUGAAGGUUGGGUAACACUAACUGGAGGACCGAACCGACUAAUGUUGAAAAAUUAGCGGAUGACCUGUGGCUGGGGGUGAAAGGCCAAUCAAACCGGGAGAUAGCUGGUUCUCCCCGAAAGCUAUUUAGGUAGCGCCUCGUGAAUUCAUCUCCGGGGGUAGAGCACUGUUUCGGCUAGGGGGCCAUCCCGGCUUACCAACCCGAUGCAAACUGCGAAUACCGGAGAAUGUUAUCACGGGAGACACACGGCGGGUGCUAACGUCCGUCGUGAAGAGGGAAACAACCCAGACCGCCAGCUAAGGUCCCAAAGUCAUGGUUAAGUGGGAAACGAUGUGGGAAGGCCCAGACAGCCAGGAUGUUGGCUUAGAAGCAGCCAUCAUUUAAAGAAAGCGUAAUAGCUCACUGGUCGAGUCGGCCUGCGCGGAAGAUGUAACGGGGCUAAACCAUGCACCGAAGCUGCGGCAGCGACACUGUGUGUUGUUGGGUAGGGGAGCGUUCUGUAAGCCGUUGAAGGUGUGUCGUGAGGCAUGCUGGAGGUAUCAGAAGUGCGAAUGCUGACAUAAGUAACGAUAAAGCGGGUGAAAAGCCCGCUCGCCGGAAGACCAAGGGUUCCUGUCCAACGUUAAUCGGGGCAGGGUGAGUCGACCCCUAAGGCGAGGCCGAAAGGCGUAGUCGAUGGGAAACGGGUUAAUAUUCCCGUACUUGGUGUUACUGCGAAGGGGGGACGGAGAAGGCUAUGUUGGCCGGGCGACGGUAGUCCCGGUUUAAGCGUGUAGGUGUGUGUUCCAGGUAAAUCCGGUUCACUUUAACACUGAGGCGUGAUGACGAGGCACCACGGUGCUGAAGCAACAAAUGCCCUGCUUCCAGGAAAAGCCUCUAAGCAUCAGGUAACAUCAAAUCGUACCCCAAACCGACACAGGUGGUCAGGUAGAGAAUACCAAGGCGCUUGAGAGAACUCGGGUGAAGGAACUAGGCAAAAUGGUGCCGUAACUUCGGGAGAAGGCACGCUGACACGUAGGUGAAGUGAUUUACUCAUGGAGCUGAAGUCAGUCGAAGAUACCAGCUGGCUGCAACUGUUUAUUAAAAACACAGCACUGUGCAAACACGAAAGUGGACGUAUACGGUGUGACGCCUGCCCGGUGCCGGAAGGUUAAUUGAUGGGGUCAGCGCAAGCGAAGCUCCUGAUCGAAGCCCCGGUAAACGGCGGCCGUAACUAUAACGGUCCUAAGGUAGCGAAAUUCCUUGUCGGGUAAGUUCCGACCUGCACGAAUGGCGUAAUGAUGGCCAGGCUGUCUCCACCCGAGACUCAGUGAAAUUGAACUCGCUGUGAAGAUGCAGUGUACCCGCGGCAAGACGGAAAGACCCCGUGAACCUUUACUAUAGCUUGACACUGAACAUUGAGCCUUGAUGUGUAGGAUAGGUGGGAGGCUUUGAAGCGUGGACGCCAGUCUGCGUGGAGCCGACCUUGAAAUACCACCCUUUAAUGUUUGAUGUUCUAACGUGGACCCGUAAUCCGGGUUGCGGACAGUGUCUGGUGGGUAGUUUGACUGGGGCGGUCUCCUCCUAAAGAGUAACGGAGGAGCACGAAGGUUGGCUAAUCCUGGUCGGACAUCAGGAGGUUAGUGCAAUGGCAUAAGCCAGCUUGACUGCGAGCGUGACGGCGCGAGCAGGUGCGAAAGCAGGUCAUAGUGAUCCGGUGGUUCUGAAUGGAAGGGCCAUCGCUCAACGGAUAAAAGGUACUCCGGGGAUAACAGGCUGAUACCGCCCAAGAGUUCAUAUCGACGGCGGUGUUUGGCACCUCGAUGUCGGCUCAUCACAUCCUGGGGCUGAAGUAGGUCCCAAGGGUAUGGCUGUUCGCCAUUUAAAGUGGUACGCGAGCUGGGUUUAGAACGUCGUGAGACAGUUCGGUCCCUAUCUGCCGUGGGCGCUGGAAGACUGAGGGGGGCUGCUCCUAGUACGAGAGGACCGGAGUGGACGCAUCACUGGUGUUCGGGUUGUCAUGCCAAUGGCACUGCCCGGUAGCUAAAUGCGGAAAAGAUAAGUGCUGAAAGCAUCUAAGCACGAAACUUGCCCCGAGAUGAGUCUUCCCUGAGACCUUGAGUCUCCUGAAGGAACGUUAAAGACGAUGACGUUGAUAGGCCGGGUGUGUAAGCGCAGCGAUGCGUUGAGCUAACCGGUACUAAUGAACCGUGAGGCUUAACCUU